UACGCUGGCGGCACGCCUAACACAUGCAAGUCGAACGAAGUAGCAAUACUUAGUGGCAGACGGGUGAGUAACAUGUAGGUAUCUACCCUUUGGCCUGGAAUAACACGAGGAAACUUGUGCUAAUACUGGAUAAGUCUUUACGGAGAAAGCUUUAUGCACCAUUGGAUGAGCCUGCACUUGAUUAGUUUGUUGGUGGGGUAAUGGCCUACCAAGACUGUGAUCAAUAGCUGAUUUGAGAGGAUGAUCAGCCACAUUGGGACUGAGACACGGCCCAAACUCCUACGGGAGGCAGCAGUGGGGAAUCUUGCACAAUGGAGGAAACUCUGAUGCAGCGAUGCCGCGUGAGUGAAGAAGGCCUUUGGGUUGUAAAGCUCUUUCGUCGGGGAAGAAAAUGACUGUACCCGAAUAAGAAGGUCCGGC
RNAcentral lists this ribosomal RNA (420 nucleotides) under uncultured bacterium. RNAcentral's name for it is "bacterial SSU rRNA". It matches the Rfam family "Bacterial small subunit ribosomal RNA", at positions 33 to 497 of the family's 1533-position model. The record is from RNAcentral.